AUACGUAGGGGGCAAGCGUUGUCCGGAAUCAUUGGGCGUGAAGGGCGCGUAGGCGGAUAUUUAGGUCUGAUGUGAAAACCUAGGGCUCAACCCUGGGACUGCAUCGGAAACUGGGUAUCUUGAGGACAGGAGAGGAAAGUGGAAUUCCACGUGUAGCGGUGAAAUGCGUAGAUAUGUGGAGGAACACCAGUGGCGAAGGCGACUUUCUGGACUGUAACUGACGCUGAGGCGCGAAAGCGUGGGGAGCAAACAGGAUUAGAUACCCUGGUAGUCCACGCCGUAAACGAUGAGUGCUAGGUGUAGAGGGUAUCGACCCCUUCUGUGCCGCAGUAAACACAAUAAGCACUCCGCCUGGGGAGUACGGCCGCAAGGCUGAA
Molecule: ribosomal RNA, 377 nt
Filed under: uncultured bacterium
Lineage: Bacteria
Description: bacterial SSU rRNA
Rfam family: Bacterial small subunit ribosomal RNA
Source: RNAcentral